This 6281-nucleotide long non-coding RNA is filed under the name Ooceraea biroi (clonal raider ant). RNAcentral describes it as "uncharacterized LOC113563399". The record is from RNAcentral. Lineage: Eukaryota; Metazoa; Arthropoda; Insecta; Hymenoptera; Formicidae.
UCUGGAAUAAGGCAUUAAUUUGUGUUAUUUAUCGGCCAUUACGCGGCAAAGAAACAUUCGCAUGGGAAAUAAUGUAUCAUUCUCAACACGCGUCCGUGGCGAACCCGGACGGGGAAUCGUGGAUGAUUCGGAAUACCAACGAACCCCGACGAGCAGGAUGUACCGAGCGAAGAAAGCGCCGUCGAACACACGAUUACGUAACUUGGCGUUGAGGAAGUGACUGAUUUCUUCGAGAGUAGAACGACGUUGCUGAUCUUCCGAGCAAUGAAUUUUUCGGUUCUCAUAUCGCGCGUACAUUUCCCGUGCUCAUCCUCUGCCCUCGUAUCGAGACACAAGACGACGAGGCCUUAAUUGUUUUCCGAUACUGCAAACAACGAGCGCUUCCUAAAGAAGGUGACGAUAAUUGUGAUCACCGGGGACUAAACGGACUGGGGGAGUGAUAUCUCGAGUUCGUAAUAGCCAACGCUAUUGCCAAGAUGGCAAACCGCGCAAUGCAACUCUUUGAAUAACAGUUUCAGGAAUUUUAAACGGCCAUUUAAGCGGCACGUGUAAGAAAGUAUUCGUACAUGCAUCGCGUAUAUUACGCGUAAUUAGUUGUGCGGCAAAUGGCGGCCGUUUCUUUGAAAAACCGGAAUACCAUACCGUUACGUCCACUCAAAUAACUCGAUCGAUUACAAUCAGCCGCGUGUUUUUCAUUUAAUUAAGAAAUAUCAUCGCCGCGCGAGAUAUCGUCGAGCUCGUUAUCGCUUAUUGACUAGUUUUACGGUGUGCGCAACGAUAAAGGAGGGCGGAGGGAGGACUUUCUUGAAUAUCAUUGUGUUGCAACACGUAAUGUCGUAAUUUCUGAAAUUUUUUCACAAAUUAUGAUCGUGGAAAAAGUGAGUUUCCGUUAGCAACGCAGUUCAUAAGCAAUAAAGUACGAAUAAUUAAUGUUUUGCUACAUUCCGUGUGCUAACUGCAAAAGAACUAGGUGUUUUUACAUCACAAUGAUGUAUUCAUGUUAAACUAGAUGUCAGAUUAUUUUUUCAUGGUACACCACAUCAAUUUACGCGAUAAUUAUUAGCUGGUAAUUCGAGUCUACGAGACAUCUAGGCGAGACGCGUUAUAUGUCUUCCGGCAUGAAUAUUCAUUUCUCAGAUAUAAAUAUUCAACAUGUUAUAAUUGAUCUGGAACCUAACCAGUGCCGUGCGACGUCGUCAUGUACCCCCUAAAAUGUCAUGUCGUGUAAAUUGGCCAUUAAUUUCACACCCACACUCCCGACUGAAUGAAACGUCAAGAACGUGUGCUCGCCUUUGUGUGAGAGACGUUGUUUGAAAUUAAAACGAUUCGAAAUUCUACAAUCGCACAGUUGAUGAGAGAUAACUUUAGAUGGCGGUAAAUACAUACGUUGCUGGUCGCGGUUCACUGUCGAUAAAGGCAUUAUCUUCCAUUAUCUCGUUGCAUUCGUCACGUACCACGUUCUAAUCAUUUGUAUCGAAUCUCGGGAUUGCGUGUAAAAUUAUUGUUUUAAAAUCGCCGUGUUGUGUAUAAAUACGAUAACGAAUAUGAAAGAGAAAGUCCACGACGUGGAAAUGUAGUCGAGUAAUGAAAUAUAUCGAGAAAUAGGGGAAGAGAGAAAGCGACUGUGCCGAGAAUAAAAUUCUCUAGAAACAUGAUUAACAUGACUUUAUUUAUUUUAAUGAUACCAAGGAUAGGAAGAAGGAAAGUUUCCGCGUAAAAAAACUACACGUACCUAAUUGUUAAUUGUUUGAUUAUGAAAUCGCUUCCUUCACCAACGGAAAUUAGCAGAAAACUUGAAACGGUGAAGAAGCAGUUUCAGAAAAGCAGUAAAGGGAAAGCCCAGGUCCAGACCAAGUUGAAAUCAUUAUCCACGGCUUUGUGGUCGUGUGGAUAAUUGUGGAUAAUUGUGGCUAAUUAUCUCUCGUGAUCUGAGAAAGGAGAAAAAAUUGGUAUCGCGCCUAACGCGCGUGGGGAGAGACGAUAAGUUGAAUGCCGCUAACGGAUAUUAACACGAAUGGUGCUGGAACAUGCACAUUUGUUGCACAUCCCUGGUGCAUCCGUCCCUGGUUCGAAGAAUCUCUCGUGGAAGGGGUCAUCCCCGGUGAAUUAUGGACUCGACAGGGCAGCGCGGCCGCCGCAACAUUAAUUGGGUCUAUCGCCCAAACGAACACAUGUCGGAUUACUCGUCCCACUCCGCCGGUACAUAUACAUACGUCAGGCGAAGCAGCACCAUCGUGCCAAGAAACCGAAGAGAUGGCUGAAGAAGCAGAAGAAAGAGAAGAAGGAGGAGGAGGAGAAGAAGAAGCGGAGAGUGCGUCGGAGGAGAGAGAUGCGACGAGAAAAAGAAAGGGAGCGGGGAUCGAGACAAGUCUGUUCUUUCAUUAAUCAGCGAUUAAGCCUCUGGCCUCGGCCUUUAUGAAUUAUUAUGAUACCACAUCUCACGACAUCGCCAUCAGUCACGAGCCGUCGUGUAUCUCGGUAACUAUCUCCGGGGCCGCCUGGCAGACGUGUUUACAUUUAUCACCGUCAUCUUUUCAGCAUGCUUGAUUUAUCUUCCGCGCAUUAUCAUCUGGCACUUUGACAUUUUGUUUGAAUGGAUAAGAGUGGCUAAUGUCGCUCUCUCGAGUCCCCGGAGGGACCGGUGCUGGGCGGUGCGCAAACGUGGAUUAAGAAUUGUAGAUUGCGAAUACGUGAAGCAUCGUAUUUCGUUGCGAUAUCGCGUUAUUUCCUCGCGUCUCUGUCGAUAAAUAAUGCAUCAUGCCAAAGAUAACGGCGAGUAUUAUCGGACCCAUCUUGUCCCGUAUUAACAUGUCGAAAAUGUACGGGUCUACUUAAGAAGCAUUGAAAUGUAUUUGUAUAAAUGUAUUUUUUGUUCACAGCACCUCCGCAUAUGUUUGAAUAGCUUUUAGAAUGUAACGCUCGCUUUAUUCGAUGUUGGGAAACGCAUUUUUCUAACGUUAUUCGGAGUCACUGGCAGAACUAACCGCAGAGGAAAAGAAGAGAGAGAGAGAGAGAGAUGGAUGACGAAUCAGAGAUUUUCGUGCCAAUCCCCGAUAAAUCUGUCGGCAUUAAUAAUCAUAAGUGUAAGUUACGGCCGGACCAAUGGCCCAAUAAAAGCUACGGUGAAGCUAAUGCUGAAAGAGAGGUAAAGAGAAGAGGGCGCGGGGAGAACUGAAUAGGGAUAAAAGGAUAGAAGGGGGGGGGAGGAGGAAAAGAGAGCGAGAAAGAGAUAGCAAACGAGCGAACGUGAGGAUUAAUGCUAAUCAAGGAUAAAUUAUAAUCAUACUAACGUUUUCGUACCGAAUGGCGGAUGCUCGGGCGCAUAGGGGAAAGGGGAUGCUUUAAUUUAUUGGACGGCCGAAAAGACAUUGCGCGUAAGCGCAUAACUUGUGUUUAUCAGAAUCCGGCCAUUUACUCUUGAAACAUAUUACCGGUUUAACUGCCAACCGGAUAGCUAUUUUAUUUUAGGGAUGUUUAUCGUGCGCCGGUGCGCGCGGAAUAUACGGUAUACUUAUGUUUAAAAUGUGUGUAUUGCGACACUAAGCGACGAUGCAAGUAACAUACAUCGCACUAGCAUGUAACAUUUAAUUGCGUGAUAAUAUUAUAUCGUACGAUGCCACGUGACAAAAAAUUAUAUCAUCUCUAUUAUGUAUAAGCAUCUCCAAGAAAACCGGCUAGUGUUUAUGAUGCAACGCCAAUAUAAUCCUUUCUCACGAGAAGCCAGCAAAAAAUUUAACAUUUCUUAGAAUUUUAUAUCAUUUUGCUUUUUGCAGACAUGUUGCACGAGACACGAAAUACUCAGUUGUUUCAAAUGUAGACAGAAAAAUUAAAUGUAUACACGUAUUUUAUAUUAGAGAUUCUUUUUCACCAAAUUUGAGAAUACAGUCUAUAUCAUAAUUCGAGAUGACACGAUUGUUCAAAGUCCGUGACUUUGCCGUUGCUAUUAGCUCUUCAGAAGGUUACGGGGAAAGAUGUAUUCUCGUGGGAUAUUUCGCUCGGCGAUAUACCCGUAAAAUUGAAUAAACUAAGCAAUUCGAUAUCCAUCAUCUCGCUUCAAAGUCACUUGUGAGCUUGGAUCAAUGGCUUUCAGUGUGCGAAAAUAAGUUCAAAAGACGAGGAAUGUCAAGUGCAAUAUGGAGAGAUGUACAAAUAUUAUAUAUCAGAAAUUAAAACGAAAUUAAAAAUUGAACUCAUGGGUAACAUUAAAAAAGUUCGUUACGUAAAUUCGUUAUAAUAAAUAAAAACGAGUCUUCAAUUCAAGUAAGUACAUCAAAAUGGAUUAAUAACAAUGCAACAGGAAACAGGAAAUAAAAUAGCAAAUGUGUAAUAAAAAAGCAUCAUUCUUUAUGUAAACUGUUGUUAAAACCUGAUUGAUGAACUUAUACGUUAAAAAUGAAAAUUGAAACAUUAAAAAAAAAUUGCGUAUUGCACAUCCAUCUGUUUCUAGUUGAGCCUCAAUUAAUUAUGCAACAAUGACGAAUGCUUCGAAUCGAUUAUCUCCGCGUGAGUUAUUUACAUGCAUCGUAUUAUUUUUAACCUUUGCUAAGUCGCAUGAAUUUAUCGUUACGUAAACUGUCAGUCGCUAAUAAGAAUAUCGAUGAGCAGUGUGAUUUCCGAGUAUCGCGAUGAUAACUACAAUGUCGAAGCGAAUGAUUAAAAACACAAUUAAGGUGAUGCUGUUAACAGAUAAAACAAGUAUAAAACUCAUUGACUACAAGAAGAGUGAUUUAUCGCACGUACGCGUUUUAGUCAAUAGAUUUCCUUUUAACGCCUCACGUACACGUACAAACCGACACAGCUGCUGACUUUCGUUUCCCCACCUUUCGCGCGAUACGCACAUAUACCUUUCACAACGAUAAUUCACUAUUGCGGCAGGUGUUUUGGGUGAUUAUAGGAUAGCGUGCGAGCCGAACCGAGCGCCGAUUAAGAUGUGUAAAUAAAAUAUGCGACACGGUAAUUUCGUAUUGUGUGUGUGUGUGUGUGUGUGUGUGUGUGUAUGCCCGAUUAUACAAUAUAUUCGUUCGACGUGUCAAAGGAGAAGCAGCCUUUCGCGCGAGACACAUUACGAAAGGGAGAAAAAAGAAAAAAAGGUCAGAAACAGGCAAGAUGUGUCUGACUUUUUUCGGGAGGGAACACUUAUCAUGGCACAGCGUCGUGUACAAGAGUGCAUACGAGACUUGUGCCGAGAAGCCGGAGCACAAAGGGGUCCGGGGGGUUGCGCAAAGCAGCGCUUAUUUACUCGGGCCGCGAGUUGAUGUAUGGCCCGCUGCUGGACGUUGUCGGUGCCUUUCAUUCGGCCGCCUCUCGCAGAGACAAGAGAUAACCUCGCGUCUGAUCAACGACUCUCCGCUACUCUCUAAAGGCCCCAAGCUACAUGAUCCAAGUGCGGGGUCGGCAUGAAUCUCGGGCCAUUCACGGCCUGCAGGCGCGGACGGUUACAUGGGUUACGAAGUGUUGUUCGCAACGCCCUUAUAUCGCUCAAAUAAAGAGAUUAUCUCCUCUCUCGGAUAAAGGAUAUCUCUGCGCGCGUUACCUGAGGAAUCACUCUUGUGGUCUCGCGAAAACUUUGCGCCACGUGAAUGCAAGCGCAAUAUGCGGAAUGACGGUCACGUGUCUACAGCGAAAAAAUUCUCUGGAAUUCCCAAGAGAAGAGAAGAGUUUAAUAGGGGAGACCAGGGACAAACGUAACAUUUUGCUUAUUUGUGUUGAUAUCUUCGAUUUGCUUGUUUAUUUAUAAACUUUUUCUAUCUUAUAAAAUUAAUGCAUUCUUUACUUAUUAUUUGGUAUGGAUAAAACUUAUGCACAUUAUACAAUUACGUGGAAAAAUCGAAUUUUAUAAAAAUCGAGAUUUGUUACGAUUGUCCCUACCCCUAGGGCUGGUUGUAACAGGGCUGAAGGUUGAUUUUAACAAGAUAAAAUAAAAUUAAAACAAACAUAUAAUCAAUGUAGUGAAACGUUUUAUUCCUUAUAAACUUUUUUCAAAUAAUUCUGGACAUGUUUAAUUAUUUUAAACAUAAAUAAUGAAACAUAAAAUUAUAAAAACAAAAUUAUACGAACAUAAAAUUAUUCAAUCAUAAAAUAAACGAAAUUAUACAAACAUAUAAUAAACAAAAAUGUUUAAUAUCACGAGGAACUUCUCUUUUAUAACACAACAUAAACUAUUCCUAUAAAUUAAGGUUAUGCAAUUAUUUAUACCUGAAGAAAAUUAACUAAAAAAGUGAAAAAUCAUAAAUUUCUGGAAUUGAUAUUCAUAUAGGUAAACAAAAAAAGAUAACAAAAAA